Molecule: long non-coding RNA, 329 nt
Filed under: Mytilus galloprovincialis (Mediterranean mussel)
Lineage: Eukaryota; Metazoa; Mollusca; Bivalvia; Mytilida; Mytilidae
Source: RNAcentral
GUCUUUUGUAUUUAACUGUUCGAGUUCCAUGAAGUUGUGAAAAGGAAAACUUUAUUAAUAGCAUUGAAGACCCAUUGAAAACCGUUGUCUGCUCUUUGGUGGGGUUCUUGUCUCUUUGACAUAUAUUCCCCAUUUCAAUUCUCAAUUUUUAAAGCAAUUGCUUUUAUGCUAUCGCGUAUGGCCAUCUUUGUGACCCAGAUCAGAGACUCCGCCCAUAUCAAGCCAUAGUAUUUUGUUAAACAGGCUCCUGGUCUGUCAUUCUUUAACACCUAUGUAUGUUUUCUAAUGCAAUACAUAGCUUGAAACUUUAAAAAAACGUUAGUGGAUUU